This 486-nucleotide ribosomal RNA is filed under the name uncultured bacterium. RNAcentral describes it as "bacterial SSU rRNA". It matches the Rfam family "Bacterial small subunit ribosomal RNA", at positions 28 to 507 of the family's 1533-position model. The record is from RNAcentral.
GAUGAACGCUAGCGGGAGGCUUAACACAUGCAAGUCGAGGGGCAGCAUAGGGUAGCAAUACUCUGAUGGCGACCGGCAAACGGGUGAGUAACGCGUAUGCAACCUACCCUGUACAGGGGGAUAACCCGGAGAAAUUCGGACUAAUAUCCCGUAAUAAUAUCCGGAGGCAUCUUUGGAUAUUAAAGUUCCGACGGUACGGGAUGGGCAUGCGUAACAUUAGCUGGUUGGUAAGGUAACGGCUUACCAAGGCUAUGAUGUUUAGGGGUCCUGAGAGGGUGGUCCCCCACACUGGUACUGAGACACGGACCAGACUCCUACGGGAGGCAGCAGUGAGGAAUAUUGGUCAAUGGGCGCAAGCCUGAACCGGCCAUCCCGCGUGCAGGAAGACGGCCCUAUGGGUUGUAAACUGCUUUUCCAGGGAGAGAAACUUACGCACGUGUUGCGUGACUGACGGUACCCUGGGAAUAAGCAUCGGCUAACUCCGUG